CAUCUGUCUCUUCUUUCAGAUGCACUCUGGUGUGCCACACAUUUAGCUCUGUCUGCUGGAGAAAUAAAAAAGGUCAAAUGAAGGUUGUGUGGUGCAAUGAAUUUGCUGGGGUGUGAUAAACUGCAGCCAUGUGAGAUCCCAUCCUGAUAAUUCCUGCAUCUCUAAAUGGAAUGCUGCAGGAUGUGUCUUCUGAGGAGUCAGAAGUGUUUCAGUGCAUCCCCAUUUCAGGGCAGCUGCACCCACCACAUUCAGGUGUUUGAACUUGGGGAAUCCAGGGGCUCUGCUACCAUAAAAGAGACAUCUGUGUGCUCCUCUUCACUGCUUCUUGGGGACCCAGGUGAGGAAAGAUCUCACAAGAGUCUGUGUUUCCCAUAGGA
Non-coding RNA from Cyanistes caeruleus (blue tit), 377 nucleotides. NCBI's taxonomy places the organism in Eukaryota, Metazoa, Chordata, Aves, Passeriformes, Paridae. The record is from RefSeq and is a predicted model, not a curated record.